AUUGUUUACUACUAAGAAACAACUAUCUCUAUUUAUAUUAUGAAGACCAUCAACUUUCACCGUCUAUUUAGGUUAAGUUCUCUAUUCCUUUGCUUCUUGCACCUUUAACUAGUUAAACAUGAGUUAUAUAAAAUAGUUCAAAAUUAAUUCAUAUGAUCCCUUUCAAAAUCCUCGUUUGCAAAUGUUAAAAAUUUAUUUCAAUUACAUAUUUCGGCAUCUCUUAUAAAUUAAAGUUGUAAAAAAGGUACAUUGAAAAUUUAGUUUGUAGGAUAGUUUUUAUUGGCGGUAGCACUCACAUUCUUCUUUAACCUAGUUCCGCACUUCAUUCCUUUUCCAUACAGUCUUGCUUUCCUCUCCAACCCACCUCUGCAACAUCACAUCUACGUUCCUUUCUUAUCUUGAUUCAUAGUCGAAGAUACGAGAAUAUAAGAUAUAGGGUUACGGAUUUGGAGAAAUGGGAUUCAUUAGAUUUUAAGAUCAUAUUAAGAUUUUCACCUAUCUAUUUGAAAGAUUAUGAGAUUUAGGUUUACUAUCUAAUUUUUAAAUUUAGUUUUCAAAUUU
This 561-nucleotide long non-coding RNA is filed under the name Vigna radiata. RNAcentral describes it as "long non-coding RNA (VRAD_LNC005008)". The record is from RNAcentral. Lineage: Eukaryota; Viridiplantae; Streptophyta; Magnoliopsida; Fabales; Fabaceae.